CCGGCGAGGGGAGUGAAAAAGAACCUGAAACCGUGUACGUACAAGCAGUGGGAGCCCCACCACUAAGCCAGUGGUGAGUCCACGUCAGCAUCCUUUGCCGAAGGUAAGGUUAACGGAGCGCAAGCGACGUUCAACCUCAAAAGAAGCAGAGGGGGCUUAGUGGUGGGGUGACUGCGUACCUUUUGUAUAAUGGGUCAGCGACUUAUAUUCUGUAGCAAGGUUAACCGAAUAGGGGAGCCGAAGGGAAACCGAGUCUUAACUGGGCGUUAAGUUGCAGGGUAUAGACCCGAAACCCGGUGAUCUAGCCAUGGGCAGGUUGAAGGUUGGGUAACACUAACUGGAGGACCGAACCGACUAAUGUUGAAAAAUUAGCGGAUGACCUGUGGCUGGGGGUGAAAGGCCAAUCAAACCGGGAGAUAGCUGGUUCUCCCCGAAAGCUAUUUAGGUAGCGCCUCGUGAACUCAUCUUCGGGGGUAGAGCACUGUUUCGGCUAGGGGGUCAUCCCGACUUACCAACCCGAUGCAAACUGCGAAUACCGAAGAAUGUUAUCACGGGAGACACACGGCGGGUGCUAACGUCCGUCGUGAAGAGGGAAACAACCCAGACCGCCAGCUAAGGUCCCAAAGUCAUGGUUAAGUGGGAAACGAUGUGGGAAGGCCCAGACAGCCAGGAUGUUGGCUUAGAAGCAGCCAUCAUUUAAAGAAAGCGUAAUAGCUCACUGGUCGAGUCGGCCUGCGCGGAAGAUGUAACGGGGCUAAACCAUGCACCGAAGCUGCGGCAGCGACGCUUAUGCGUUGUUGGGUAGGGGAGCGUUCUGUAAGCCGUUGAAGGUGUGCUGUGAGGCAUGCUGGAGGUAUCAGAAGUGCGAAUGCUGACAUAAGUAACGAUAAAGCGGGUGAAAAGCCCGCUCGCCGGAAGACCAAGGGUUCCUGUCCAACGUUAAUCGGGGCAGGGUGAGUCGACCCCUAAGGCGAGGCCGAAAGGCGUAGUCGAUGGGAAACAGGUUAAUAUUCCUGUACUUGGUGUUACUGCGAAGGGGGGACGGAGAAGGCUAUGUUAGCCGGGCGACGGUUGUCCCGGUUUAAGCAUGUAGGCGGAGGUUCCAGGUAAAUCCGGUACCUUUUAACGCUGAGGUGUGAUGACGAGGCACUACGGUGCUGAAGUAACAAAUGCCCUGCUUCCAGGAAAAGCCUCUAAGCAUCAGGUAACACGAAAUCGUACCCCAAACCGACACAGGUGGUCAGGUAGAGAAUACCAAGGCGCUUGAGAGAACUCGGGUGAAGGAACUAGGCAAAAUGGUGCCGUAACUUCGGGAGAAGGCACGCUGACAUGUAGGUGAAGCCCCUGCGGGUGGAGCUGAAGUCAGUCGAAGAUACCAGCUGGCUGCAACUGUUUAUUAAAAACACAGCACUGUGCAAACACGAAAGUGGACGUAUACGGUGUGACGCCUGCCCGGUGCCGGAAGGUUAAUUGAUGGGGUUAUCCUCAGGGAGAAGCUCUUGAUCGAAGCCCCGGUAAACGGCGGCCGUAACUAUAACGGUCCUAAGGUAGCGAAAUUCCUUGUCGGGU
RNAcentral lists this ribosomal RNA (1569 nucleotides) under human gut metagenome. Its description in RNAcentral is "bacterial LSU rRNA". It matches the Rfam family "Bacterial large subunit ribosomal RNA", at positions 526 to 1977 of the family's 2925-position model. The record is from RNAcentral.